GGGGAGGCGAGCCGGAGCGACUGCGGGGCUGGGGCCGGAGCCGAGCCGGGGUCGGGCAGCAGCAGGGACCCCCAGAGGCGGGGCCUGUGGGACCGCUAUGGGCGUGGAGAUCGAGACCAUCUCCCCCGGAGACGGAAGGACAUUCCCCAAGAAGGGCCAGACGUGUGUGGUGCACUACACAGGUAAGCCUCACCCCCUCAGCCCCCACCCAGUCCUUCCCCUCCCAAGGCAGGGCUGUCCUCUGAGCUUCUCUCCAGAGGUGCCUGCCUCUGGAUCAGGCCUAAAGCCCAAGGCAGCAGGGUCUCCCUGUGACCAGCCAUCCCCUACUCCUGCCAGCCAGUCUAGUGGGAAUGAUAAAGGAGGCUUGGAAGGCCAACUCUUUCCCUCUUCUACCAGGAAGGGCCAUCCAUGGUGCCAGCUUCUAGGUGAGUCAAACACCUUCAGUCCCCUUCCUUCUGUUGCAGGUGUGGUGGAGCCCCUGUCCCUGCUGGGUCUGUCUGAUAUUUGGAAAUCCCUCCUAGAGCUCCCGGCAGACUUUCUCUCUAUCCUGCAGUAUCAUUAGAGAAGAAGAGGAAGGGAGAGGACAGACAAGUCACCCAGAGGCUCCGAUGCCAUUUGAGGGGUGGGGUGAUGGCAGUGCUUUUCUCUGGGUACUGAGGGAGCCCAGAGCGGGACUGAUCCCAGUUGGAUGCUCUUUAUCUGCAGGUGAGGUAGAGUGAGUUCUUCAGGACUGCUGGCAGGAAGAUCAUGAGCAGGUGUUUGUUCCAAGGGAGGUGAGCACCCUGCCUUGUGACCUGCUUCCUAAAGUGGCAAACUCGAUGACAGCCACUUAGCAGACAGCAAGCCCAGGAAUGCUCCAAAAUGGGAAGAAAUUUGAUUCAUCCAGAGACAGAAACAAACCUUUCAAGUUCCGAAUUGGCAAACAGGAAGUCAUCAAAGGUUUUGAAGAGGGCGCAGCCCAGCUGGGUCCUCUUUCUCCUCUCCCCAUCUGCCCCCAUCCCUGCUAGAUGAGCUUGGGGCAGAGGGCGAAGCUGACCUGCACCCCUGAUGUGGCAUAUGGAGCCACAGGCCACCCUGGUGUCAUCCCUCCCAAUGCCACCCUCAUCUUUGACGUGGAGCUGCUCAACUUAGAGUGAAGGCAGGAAGGAACUCAAGGUGGCUGGAGAUGGCUGCUGCUCACCCUCCUAGCCUGCUCUGCCACUGGGAUGGCUCCUUCUGUUUGGGGCUCUUGAUCAGUGUGCUAACCUCACUGCCUCAUGGCAUCAUCCAUUCUCUCUGCCCAAGUUGCUCUGUAUGUGUUCGUCAGUGUUCAUGCAAAUUCUUGCUUGAGGAAACUUCGGUUGCAGAUUGAAGCAUUUCAGGUUGUGCAUUUUGUGUGAUGCAUGUAGUAGCCUUUCCUGAUGACAGAACACAAAUCUCUUGUUCGCACAAUCUACACUGCCUUACCUUCACUUAAGCCACACACACAAGGUGCUCAGACAUGAAAUGUACAUGGCGUACACAGAGGGACUUGAGCCAGUUAUCUUUGCUGUCAUUUUCUCUCUUAUAAGUUCUGUUGGCUGCUCACUUAAACAAUGUCCUCUUUGAGAAAAUGUA
This 1596-nucleotide small RNA is filed under the name Pongo abelii (Sumatran orangutan). RNAcentral describes it as "retained intron". Lineage: Eukaryota; Metazoa; Chordata; Mammalia; Primates; Hominidae. The record is from RNAcentral.